GCCUCCCUUUCGGCUUUUUGUGCCCUUCUAAUUUCCGCUGCUGAAACGCGAGUCAUAUGUGGAGGAAGUUCUUCCCUCUCCAAAUCCAGCUCUCCAAUUAAAACAACAUUCUCGCCUCGAAUAACAUAUAGACCUAAAGGUAUAUCACAAUAGAGGUCACCGACAAUAACCCUUUCGCAUGCACCCUCGAGAACAGCAUUGGCAAAUUGAUCAAAAGAACGUAAUAUUCCCAGGAGCUUUCGGCCAUCUCGCAGAAGCACUAGUAGCUUCUUAUCAAGAUAGCUAGCAAGAGAAGUAGAAAGGUAGAUAUCUUCCGGUCCUGCCCAAGACAUCGAUAAGCUCAAGCUCUAUCUUAUUCGGUACUGCAAAAAUCACCGAACACCAACCCAAAAAAAUGGCAUUGGCUACUCACAAUUCCUCCUUUAGCCACCUCACCACGCUACCACUUCAAUCUAAAACCUCCAAACAAAGAAUAACAAUCAACCCAAAAGAUAGAAAAACCCUAAUCUCUCGAUCAAACCAAAAGUCAAACCACAAAACCUAACUGCUCCAAUCCCAAAGAAAUCCAAAUUGCUAAAGAAAACCUCCAAAAAUUCAGGUUACAAACCCUAACUACUCCUACAAUCACCGAGAAAGGAAAAAACAAGAAAGCGGUAAAUUGGGUAAUCUUGUAUAGAUCCAAAAAGCGUAAAGAGUAGAAAUUGGAGAUUUCUCUUCCGGAUUGAAUGAACAGAAUGGGAAUUGUAAAAGAAGUCCCUCAGAUCCAAUCGCACCGGAAGAGAUGAAAAGAGAAAAGAGAAGGGGAUAGGAACAGAGAGGGAAAAGUGGGAGAAAAAGUAGGAAAAUGAAUUCGGGGAAAAGAAAAUUGCUAGGGUUUGGAGGAUUGCAUGGGAGGCGUUGGAGAAAUGAGAGGUAUCGUUGAAGGUGUAGGUUCUGGCUCCAUUUUGUUUUUCUUUUGGGUUUUGUUUGGCUUCUCUUGAUUGAUUGAGGAUUCAGC
This 997-nucleotide unclassified non-coding RNA is filed under the name Hevea brasiliensis (rubber tree). The record is from RNAcentral. Lineage: Eukaryota; Viridiplantae; Streptophyta; Magnoliopsida; Malpighiales; Euphorbiaceae.